RNAcentral lists this ribosomal RNA (453 nucleotides) under uncultured bacterium. RNAcentral describes it as "bacterial SSU rRNA". It matches the Rfam family "Bacterial small subunit ribosomal RNA", at positions 339 to 792 of the family's 1533-position model. The record is from RNAcentral.
GUACGGGAGGCAGCAGUGAGGAAUAUUGCGCAAUGGGCGAAAGCCUGACGCAGCGACGCCGCGUGGGGGAUGAAGGUCUUCGGAUUGUAAACCCCUUUCGGGAGGGAAGACGGCCUUAGACAACUAAGGCGGACGGUACCUCCAGAAGCAGCCACGGCUAACUUCGUGCCAGCAGCCGCGGUAAUACGAAGGUGGCAAGCGUUGUUCGGAUUUACUGGGCGUAAAGGGAGCGUAGGUGGUUAGGUAAGCCCUCCGGGAAAUCUUCAGGCUUAACCUGAAAAGGUCGGGGGGGACUGCCUAGCUAGAGGGCGGGAGAGGAGCGCGGAAUUCCCGGUGUAGCGGUGAAAUGCGUAGAGAUCGGGAGGAAGGCCGGUGGCGAAGGCGGCGCUCUGGAACGUUUCUGACACUGAGGCUCGAAAGCGUGGGGAGCAAACAGGAUUAGAUACCCCUGUA